GAUGAAGAACGUAGCGAAAUGCGAUAAGUAAUGUGAAUUGCAGAAUUCAGUGAAUCAUCGAAUCUUUGAACGCACAUUGCGCCCUUUGGUAUUCCAAAGGGCAUGCCUGUUCGAGCGUCAUUUGUACCCUCAAGCUUUGCUUGGUGUUGGGCGUUUUUUUGUCUUGUUCCAAGACUCGCCUUAAAACGAUUGGCAGCCGGCCUACUGGUUUCGGAGCGCAGCACAUUUUUGCGCUUGCAAUCAGCAAAAGAGGUCGGCAAUCCAUCAAGUCCAUUUCUCACUUUUGACCUCGGAUCAGGUAGGGAUACCCGCUGAACUUAAGCAUAUCAAUAAGCGGAGGA
Molecule: unclassified non-coding RNA, 341 nt
Filed under: soil metagenome
Description: partial contains 5.8S ribosomal RNA, internal transcribed spacer 2, and large subunit ribosomal RNA
Rfam family: 5.8S ribosomal RNA (bases 1-120)
Source: RNAcentral